RNAcentral lists this ribosomal RNA (433 nucleotides) under uncultured bacterium. RNAcentral describes it as "partial 16S ribosomal RNA". It matches the Rfam family "Bacterial small subunit ribosomal RNA", at positions 29 to 507 of the family's 1533-position model. The record is from RNAcentral.
AACGAACGCUGGCGGCAUGCCUAACACAUGCAAGUCGAACGAGACCUUCGGGUCUAGUGGCGCACGGGUGCGUAACGCGUGGGAACCUGCCCUUAGGUUCGGAAUAACUCCCCGAAAGGGGUGCUAAUACCGGAUAAUGUCUUCGGACCAAAGAUUUAUCGCCUUUGGAUGGGCCCGCGUUGGAUUGGCUAGUUGGUAGGGUAAAAGCCUACCAAGGCGACGAUCCAUAGCUGGUCUGAGAGGAUGAUCAGCCACACUGGGACUGAGACACGGCCCAGACUCCUACGGGAGGCAGCAGUGGGGAAUAUUGGACAAUGGGCGAAAGCCUGAUCCAGCGAUGCCGCGUGAGUGAUGAAGGCCUUAGGGUUGUAAAGCUCUUUUACCCGGGAUGAUAAUGACAGUACCGGGAGAAUAAGCUCCGGCUAACUCCGUG